CGAACGCUGGCGGCGUGCCUAAUACAUGCAAGUCGAGCGGACUGAUUAAGAGCUUGCUCUUAUGACGUUAGCGGCGGACGGGUGAGUAACACGUGGGCAACCUGCCCUGUAGAUCGGGAUAACACCGAGAAAUCGGUGCUAAUACCGGGUAAUAUCUGAGAUCACAUGAUCUUAGGUUAAAAGAUGGCUCCGGCUAUCACUACAGGAUGGGCCCGCGGCGCAUUAGCUAGUUGGUAAGGUAAUGGCUUACCAAGGCGACGAUGCGUAGCCGACCUGAGAGGGUGAUCGGCCACACUGGGACUGAGACACGGCCCAGACUCCUACGGGAGGCAGCAGUAGGGAAUCUUCCGCAAUGGACGAAAGUCUGACGGAGCAACGCCGCGUGAGUGAUGAAGGGUUUCGGCUCGUAAAGCUCUGUUGUUAGGGAAGAAACAGUACCGAACGAACUAGGUCGGUACCUUGACGGUACCUAACCAGAAAGCCACGGCUAACUACGUG
This 498-nucleotide ribosomal RNA is filed under the name uncultured bacterium. RNAcentral describes it as "partial 16S ribosomal RNA". It matches the Rfam family "Bacterial small subunit ribosomal RNA", at positions 30 to 507 of the family's 1533-position model. The record is from RNAcentral.